AUGGACGCCGCUACGGUGAUCGGGUGUUUCCGGGACAGGAGCAUCCUCAUCACCGGCUCGACGGGCUUCCUCGGGAAAUUGCUGGUGGAGAAGAUACUAAGGGUCCAGCCGGACGUGAGGAAGCUCUACCUUCUUGUGCGCUCACCAGACGCCGCAUCCGCCCAGCAUCGUGUGCUCACGGAGGUUGUUGGAACAGAACUCUUUGAUGUUCUACGAAGGAGGCACGGAGCUGAUUUCAACUCUUUGAUAAAAGACAAAAUUUUCCCUUUAGCUGGAGAUAUCGUUUACGAAAAUUGUGCACUCCCAAGCUCUACGAUUGAGCAGAUAUCCAAGGAAAUUGAUGUCAUUGUCAGUGUAGCUGCAACUACUAGCUUCUACGAGAGAUAUGAUGUUGCUUUGGCAUCAAAUGCCUUGGGGGUCGCCCAUGUGUGCCAUUUAGCAAACAAGUGUGGUAAUCUCAAAAUGCUCCUUCAUGUUUCCACAGCUUUUGUAGCCGGUGAUCAAGAAGGCUUGUUAAUGGAGAAACCAUUCAAACCAGGUGAAUCACUAAGGAAAGGUUACAACUUGGACGUUCAAGCUGAGAUAAAAUUAGUUGAGAAUUUCAAGUCAACACUCAGGGUGCAGUCCUCUAGUGACAAGUUAGAAAAGAAGAAAAUGAAGGAACUUGGGUUGAAAAGGGCUAGGCACUUUGGUUGGCCUAACGUGUACUCACUCACAAAGGCUUUAGGGGAGAUGUUGCUUGGUAACUUAGGACGAGACCUUCCGGUUGUCAUAGUCCGCCCUAGCAUCAUACUCAGCACUUUCCAAGAUUCAAUGUCGGGAUGGAUAGAGGGGACUAGGACAAUUGAUAUGUUGUAUGUCGCCUACAAUGACCAAAAACUUCCAUGUUUCAUCGCCGACCAUAAUGUCAUAAGUGAUAUGAUACCAGGAGACAUGGUGAUUAAUUCAAUGAUGGUUGCCAUGGCCAUUCAUUGGGACCAGCACAGAGCUCAAGCAAUUUACCAUGUGACCUCAGGCCAUCGGAAUCCUCUGAACUAUUCUAUUACAGAGGAAUCACUUUAUGAGUACUUUCGUGCAAAUCCUCGUGUAUCCAAUGGUGGGAGGAUUGUCAAGAAUAAGAGGGUGCUCCUUUUCAAGAAAUACACACAUUUCCAUUUAUACAUGAUCCUACGGUAUAAGAUAGCAUUAGAGAUGUUGCAUGUGAUGAGUGUAUUUGGGGGUUCAUUUUCCAAGAGUUACAAUAAGCUGAACCGUGGCUACAAUUUCUUGAUGCUUGUCGCCAAGUUGUAUGCUCCAUAUGUCUUCUUUAAAGGGUGCUUUGAUGACACGAACAUGAGGAAGCUGUGGGUGGCGACCACUACAGACAAGCUAAAUGAGGAUUCCAUGUUUGAUUGUGAUCCUGCCUGCAUCAACUGGAGCUCGUAUCUCGUGAACACACACAUCCCGGCUGUUAUGGUGAAUUCACGCAAUGCCACAUGA
This 1479-nucleotide ribosomal RNA is filed under the name Triticum aestivum (bread wheat). RNAcentral describes it as "partial small subunit ribosomal RNA". Lineage: Eukaryota; Viridiplantae; Streptophyta; Magnoliopsida; Poales; Poaceae. The record is from RNAcentral.